UAAUACGGGGGGGGCAAGCGUUGUUCGGAUUUACUGGGCGUAAAGGGCUCGUAGGCGGCCAUCUAAGUCGGUUGUGAAAUCCCUCGGCUCAACCGGGGAACUGCAGUCGAUACUGGGUGGCUUGAAGCCGGGAGAGGGAUGCGGAAUUUCAGGUGUAGCGGUGAAAUGCGUAGAUAUCUGAAGGAACACCCGUGGCGAAGGCGGCAUCCUGGACCGGUCUUGACGCUGAGGAGCGAAAGCUAGGGGAGCGAACGGGAUUAGAUACCCCGGUAGUCCUAGCCCUAAACGAUGAAUGCUUGGUGUGGCGGGUAUCGAUCCCUGCCGUGCCGUAGCUAACGCGUUAAGCAUUCCGCCUGGGGAGUACGGUCGCAAGGCUG
RNAcentral lists this ribosomal RNA (377 nucleotides) under uncultured Acidobacteriota bacterium. RNAcentral's name for it is "bacterial SSU rRNA". It matches the Rfam family "Bacterial small subunit ribosomal RNA", at positions 521 to 896 of the family's 1533-position model. Lineage: Bacteria; Pseudomonadati; Acidobacteriota. The record is from RNAcentral.